Molecule: ribosomal RNA, 254 nt
Filed under: uncultured bacterium
Lineage: Bacteria
Description: partial 16S ribosomal RNA
Rfam family: Bacterial small subunit ribosomal RNA
Source: RNAcentral
UACGGAGGGGGCAAGCGUUAUUCGGAUUUACUGGGCGUAAAGGGUGCGUAGGCGGCCGUGCAAGUCUGACGUGAAAUCUUCACCGCUCAACGGGAAGAGGUCGUUGGAAACUGCAUGGCUCGAGUAUGGCAGAGGCAAGCGGAAUUCCAGGUGUAGCGGUGGAAUGUGUAGAUAUCUGGAAGAACACCCGUGGCGAAGGCGGCUUGCUGGGCCAUGUCUGACGCUGAGGCACGAAAGCGUGGGGAGCAAACGGG